Molecule: ribosomal RNA, 498 nt
Filed under: uncultured Glomeromycotina
Lineage: Eukaryota; Fungi; Glomeromycota
Description: partial small subunit ribosomal RNA
Rfam family: Eukaryotic small subunit ribosomal RNA
Source: RNAcentral
CCAAUAGCGUAUAUUAAAGUUGUUGCAGUUAAAAAGCUCGUAGUUGAACUUCGGGAUCAAGGAAUCGGUCAUGCCUUGGUAUGUACUGGUUUUAUUGGUUCUCACCUUCUAAAGAACCAUAAUGUCAUUCAUUUGAUGUUUUGGGGAAUUAGGACUGUUACCUUGAAAAAAUUAGAGUGUUUAAAGCAGGCUUACGCUUGAAUACAUUAGCAUGGAAUAAUGAAAUAGGACGUUGACCCUAUUUUGUUGGUUUCUAGGAUUGACGUAAUGAUUAAUAGGGAUAGUUGGGGGCAUUAGUAUUCAAUUGUCAGAGGUGAAAUUCUUGGAUUUAUUGAAGACUAACUACUGCGAAAGCAUUUGCCAAGGAUGUUUUCAUUAAUCAAGAACGAAAGUUAGGGGAUCGAAGACGAUCAGAUACCGUCGUAGUCUUAACCAUAAACUAUGCCGACUAGGGAUCGGACGAAGUUAAUUUUAUAAUGACGCGUUCGGCACCUUACG